GGAGUUUGGACCGUGUCUCAGUCCCAAUGUGGCCGUCCACCCUCUCAGGCCGGCUACCGAUCGUUGCCCUGGUGGGCCUUUACCCCGCCAGCUAGCUAAUCGGACGCGGACCCAUCCCCCACCGCUGACGCUUUCCCCGCCCUGCCAUGCGGCAGGGCGGCCGUAUGCGGUAUUAGCACCUGUUUCCAGGUGUUAUCCCCCGGUGGGGGGCAGGUUGUCCACGCGUUACUCACCCGUCCGCCACUAGGAUGGCCCAUGGUUCGGCCGAAGCCUCCCCGGCGGGUCAUCCCCGUUCGACUUGCAUGUGUUAGGCACGCCGCCAGCGUUCAUC
Molecule: ribosomal RNA, 331 nt
Filed under: uncultured Lachnospiraceae bacterium
Lineage: Bacteria; Bacillati; Bacillota; Clostridia; Lachnospirales; Lachnospiraceae
Description: partial 16S ribosomal RNA
Source: RNAcentral